This 620-nucleotide ribosomal RNA is filed under the name uncultured bacterium. RNAcentral describes it as "bacterial SSU rRNA". It matches the Rfam family "Bacterial small subunit ribosomal RNA", at positions 338 to 954 of the family's 1533-position model. The record is from RNAcentral.
CCUACGGGAGGCAGCAGUGGGGAAUUUUGGACAAUGGGCGAAAGCCUGAUCCAGCAAUGCCGCGUGAGUGAAGAAGGCCUUCGGGUUGUAAAGCUCUUUUGUCAGGGAAGAAACGGUGAGAGCUAAUAUCUCUUGCUAAUGACGGUACCUGAAGAAUAAGCACCGGCUAACUACGUGCCAGCAGCCGCGGUAAUACGUAGGGUGCAAGCGUUAAUCGGAAUUACUGGGCGUAAAGCGUGCGCAGGCGGUUUUGUAAGUCUGAUGUGAAAUCCCCGGGCUCAACCUGGGAAUUGCAUUGGAGACUGCAAGGCUAGAAUCUGGCAGAGGGGGGUAGAAUUCCACGUGUAGCAGUGAAAUGCGUAGAUAUGUGGAGGAACACCGAUGGCGAAGGCAGCCCCCUGGGUCAAGAUUGACGCUCAUGCACGAAAGCGUGGGGAGCAAACAGGAUUAGAUACCCUGGUAGUCCACGCCCUAAACGAUGUCUACUAGUUGUCGGGUCUUAAUUGACUUGGUAACGCAGCUAACGCGUGAAGUAGACCGCCUGGGGAGUACGGUCGCAAGAUUAAAACUUAAAGGAAUUGACGGCUGGNGAGNGCGACGGACGACGACGAGGGAGGAGG